GUUUUUCAUGCAUAGAAGGAGUUUAGCAAGUGUUUUCAAGAACUGAAUGAGACAUCGGGACACCAGGAAAUAGUGGGGAAACUCCUUUAGUUUCCUCCUGCGCAGGCUGAGCCCAGGAUAAAAGGACCCUGUUCUGGGCUUCUCCACACACUUGAAUCCCUGAAGCCUGGAACAGCCUGGAAAGGCAGUUGAUCUACAAUCUAAAGAAAAUGUCCUAUCAGCAGCAGCAACAAUGCAAAGUUCCCUGCCAGCCCCCUCCCCAGGUCCCUGAGCCCUGCCCUCCCAAGGUGCCUGUGCCUUGCCCUCCCAAGGUGCCUGAGCCGUGUCCCCCACCUCCUGGCCAGCAGGAGUAUCCCCCUGUUAAGUGCCCCCCUGGCCAGCAAAAAUACCCGCCGAAGUAGAAGUGACACCUCUGAAGCCACCCUCUCCGACCUGGUCAUGAAGCACCCCCUUGCUCACUCCUGCCCCAUCACUUCCAGCAACAACAGGGAGCACACACAACCUAGAAGAUGCUGCCUCUCUUGAGACUCAAGAAGAAAGAUAUUGUCAUAGUCUACUGGAUUUUCCUCCUCCAAUCAACGACUCCUCCCAGCUCCUCUCCCAGGAAGCCACACGAUUUAGACAGAAGUGCCAUGUUCUCAGACCCUUCCCUAGAGGCCAUAUGUGUUCUUGCCCUUCUCCAUCCACUGUCCUGGUCGGGACCAGGCCAGACUUUCCAGCUGCCAUCUCCUCUACCACAUUGCCUUCUGCUGGUUGUACAAGCUCACUACAAGGACACAGAUUUCCUUGCUCAGCAAUCUGCCUCCGUGGGUUUCAACUCCAUGAAAGUUUCUAGGAGCAAACAUGAUUGAAAAAUUAAAACAAGGGAACUGUUUAAAUCAAUUGAAAGUUUCCUAGAGUUCUUCACAGCACAACUGCACACUCUUUAGCGAAGAGAACGAGGUCUUCUGUUUGUUAUUUCCCACAACCCCUAAGAAAGCUCACCCCUCCCUCUGGACUCUGACUCCAUUAAAAUGACUCCAUGCUCUAUGAUGCUCCUUCCUCCCUGCUUCUCAAUAAAAAAUAUGCAUCCCUGA
This 1076-nucleotide long non-coding RNA is filed under the name Equus caballus (horse). RNAcentral's name for it is "lncRNA (ENSECAG00000047076.1)". The record is from RNAcentral. Lineage: Eukaryota; Metazoa; Chordata; Mammalia; Perissodactyla; Equidae.